This 19956-nucleotide long non-coding RNA is filed under the name Solanum lycopersicum (tomato). RNAcentral describes it as "long non-coding RNA (SLYC_LNC000346)". The stretch from base 4569 to 4655 matches the Rfam family "tRNA". The record is from RNAcentral. Lineage: Eukaryota; Viridiplantae; Streptophyta; Magnoliopsida; Solanales; Solanaceae.
GCUUUGGCAACAACCGUAGGAGGUGUGAUGUACAUGCACUCAUUUCAAGGGGGUGCAACACUUCUCAGUUUGGGCCUCAUAUUUCUCCUAUAUACCAUGUUCGUAUGUGGCGCGAUGUUCUACGUGAAUCCACGUUCGAAGGACAUCAUACCAAAGUCGUACAAUUAGGACCUCGAUAUGGUUUAUUUCUGUUUAUCGUAUCGGAGGUUAUGUUCUUUUUGCUCUUUUCUCGAAGCUUCUUCUCAUUCUUCUUUCACCUCGGUAGAGAUCGAGGUAUUGCCCCCAAAAGGGUUGCGGUUUUAGAUCCUUGGGAGUCCCCUUUCCCCGUCCCUUAUCCCCUUUCAUCCGGAAGCCGUCAUCCUGGAUUCAUCUUUCCGUAUGCCGGGGAAAGUACCUCACCCCCACCUUUCUACAUUUAUUAUUAUAUAGAAUUUCCUCGGGUCUCUAUAAAACAGAAUGAAAAGCCCGGGUGGAAGCACAAACAAAAGGAGAGAGAAAAAGUCGAAAAGAAAGGGGGGAAGAAGUCUAGUGCUAGUUCUACUAACUUCUUUUUCUAACUUUCAUUUUUGAGUGCUUUCUUUGUUCUCUUAUUUGGAUUGAAAGAAAGAAAAAACUUCCCUUUCUUUCUCUUCUUUAUUUUGGUUUUAUCCCUUCGACGAAUUUCGGCUAUGACCAAUGCCCCACUAGCUAAAUAGGCGUAAGAAAAAGCUACCUGAAAAAAAAGCAAGGUGCACCUUGAAUUGAACUCGACGAAUUGCGUUUUGCCAGAGAGAUUUUUUUAGAAAGAUUCUCCUAAUUCAAAAAUAGAAAGAAUAUAAAUAAAGGCGCAUACGCGGGAAGGGGCCCCCCUCUUUCUUAGAAUUCAACAUUUAUGAUAUGUUUUGCAUCUUGUUCGCCCACUCUUCAUUCAGGGUGAUUCGAACCAGGGGAGGAUCUUCCACCUUUAAGGUCAUAGCACCAGUACUUGAACGCUUACUCUUACUGCUCUUCUCAGGUUCACCUCUUUUGGAUGCCCUGAGGUUUGAAGUCAUUUGUUUAUCACAGAACAAGUCCCCCUCAGUCACUGCCAUAGUUGACCCUCUCUUCCAGAUCCUCGCUUCUAUGAGCCAAAUCACUCUCCUCGGGAGUUCUCUCCUUGACUACACCCUCCUCGGCUUUGUUACCCAAACACUCAUCCUGAGCAAUCUCUUCCGGUUCAGCAGUGUCCAGAUCUGGCAUCUUUGCCUCUUCUUGUUCAGGGUCCUCUAGAACCGCAAAACGGUUCGGGCUGACUAGGUCCAGUUGGGUCAUUCCACUCGCACAACUAGUGUCCAGCCCCCCUUUACUAUUGUAACUACUGGUACCUGACCCCGUCGGCUCGACAUUUUUGCAAGCACCGACCCUGACUCAAUAGGGCAAUUCAAAGAGGAGAACGAGGACAGCUGACUACCGCUAAAAGUCAGACUAAGAACAUUGUAUGAUUGAAAACUGCCGCUGCAUACUACCCGGUGCUUGCAGGUCUGACUGGUGCCUUCUCUCCAACAGCUGCUUCAAUCAAUGUUAAGUCUGACUACGCCCGCAGCUGACUACUUAUUGAAAGACCGAACAGGAAAUGAAAAGUCGUACUACAACAACUGUAAAUAAACAUUCCCUCCCCGCUCUGACUUUGAUCGACUUGCCCGCACAGCGUCUUUUUUGAGAAAAGAGGUCAAGGGGCUAAGUGACUCUCGAAAGUCGUCUUUUGUAUCGCGUCAAGAGAAAUGACAUAGAUAAGAUCAUUGCUUAAAGAGUUUCAUUGUCGAAUUGAUCUCGAAAUUGGAUCCCAAUAGUAGCUGCUGCCCAAAGGUGCUUUAUGAAAGCCGGUCCACAGCAGUGAAAGUACGAUUGAUUCCGUCGAUCGAACGAAAACCGCUUCUUGCUUUUUUGGCUUGACUACUCUGCUUGCUUAACACAAGUCUUAUUUAACCUUCACGGACCACUUCACUACCCAGCAAGCUCCGGCUCGAAAGCAAGAAGCAAGGGCGCAGCUGCUGCGCGAACGCCGUUGCGCCUUAGCGCAUCCCCUUUCUUGCUCGUUAGCGCUGUUUUUUGAUUGCAGCUAGCGCGCUUGACUAAUAAGAUAGAAAGGGCCUUUCUCGCUUGUUUGAAGCCAUAUAAGGCUUUCCUCAAUCGGCAAACAAGGGGGAAGUCUGCCACACCAACCCUUUAAGAGAUAGGGACUCCAGCGCAGCGGUAAGAAAAAGUCACUCAGUGAAUCGGUGGAUCACACUUGGAGACAGGGACAGGGGCAUGCCUGACUCUUUAGAAAGUAUACAAGUGUUGAAAGAGUGAAGUCUGGGGACAACGGUAAACGUGAGGAAUGGCACCUCCGCCCUACUAAAGAAGUUCGCAAGCAAGGGACAUGCCGAACACCUACCUUUCCAACUAAGUCCAAGGCGAGGACCUUUUAAUUGACGAUGCGUUCCGUCGUCAGCAAGCGGUGGCCGACAAGGCCCCUUUCCUUAGAGUCAAGUGGCUGAACGCCCCUUUCCCUAAAUAUCUUGGGAAGCGAAGAGGACAGGUUUGAAACUCAUUCGGUAAUCUUCUCCUGAAGGUAGGCAUUUCCCCAAGGCACUGAUAUGAUGACUCUCUCAAUUACACGUGUUUUAGGGAGUUGAACGUCUUAUUCUUAUGAGUGGCCUAUGUGAAUAUAAGCCAGGAGCAAGGAUUCCGGAAAGUCAAAUUCUAUAUUGCAAGUGCAAGUCGACGUUCCUGAUAUGAAAGUGAAAGCCGGCCCUAAGCAGGAUCCAAAGACGUUUAAGUCCAGUUCCAAUCUGGAUAUAAAAGUAAAGUUCAAUCGUCGAAAGUGAGAUCUCUUUUAGUCCGGUCUUCUUUUCUCUUUUGAGUCAGGUUCUUAAGACAGGAAAUCGGGUUUUCUGAAUAUCUCUCUUCCGGCCGCCGGCCUGGCCUAUUAAGUAAGUUAGUUAGAGAUCGAAACUGGACCUGAGAGAGACUAGACUUCUAGUAAGAGUAGGUGCGCCUUAAGUUGAGGAGAGCUGUUCACAAGCAGUGGUUAUGAGCUCUUUCUUGUUCCGGUUCAGAAGAGGCUGCGCACCUUCAGUUGCACUAGUGGAUUGAAUAACCUUUUUUUUGAGUGCCAACAAAGUGCAUGUGUUCUUGGUUAAUAAAAACACAAGUAUAGGCUGGAGGACUGAUACUAUAAGUAGGACAAAGGCCUUCAAAGAGAAAUGAAAGGAUUUUUUGAGCAUUUUUCCACUUAUCCAAGGAAUCCCUUUCUUGACAUUUGUAUUUGAGAGAGAGAGCUAUGCUUAGGUCAGUUCCUUCAGUCAACUUUUUUGGUAAGCCAAAAGUGAACUUUAGGUAAGUAAGUAGUCCCGUAUGAAAUUCAGAAAACAUUCAUAUCUGGCACUUGAGGAGGUCAAUCUUAAGUGUUGGAAGCUACUGCUAAGGGACUCCCCCUCAUCUAGAAAGGAUAGGCAAUUGAGAGAGAAUAGGGCGAUAGCGACAGACACAGGAACUGAAAUAGAUUUAAAGAUUACUUCCGUAGAGGAGAGGGGAAGGCUGCUUAGAUAGGGCGAUAGCCCGGUUUUUAUUGUUUAUCCUUUCCUGCGCUUGUCUUGUAUUGAGGUAUACCGAAGAGAUUCGUAAAAGUAGGUAACAGAAGGGGAGGGAUUGCUGUUUUUUAUUAGUGAGGACAAGCCGCUUUCAUUUUCAACAAUCUAAUGCCACACCAACCCUUUAAAGAGUAGGCGGUUCGUAUCUUUCUAUGACCCCCAAGAAGUAGGAGGAUAGGCAGAGCAAGAGCUCUUGAAGUCUACCCGGGCGCGCUUCUUCAUUCAUCCAUUUAGGCCCGGCUAGGAACACGUGGAUCCAGGGAACCUGGCUCGGGAACAGCUUCUUACUAGUAGGAGCUAAUCACAGUAAGAGAGUCCAAUCUCUGAAAUAGAGCUUAGUCUCUCCAUAGUAGUCUACUAGUAGAAGGCUUAGGUUAUGACUUGAUCCAAUAGAGUCAGAACACCCUUCUAUCUAAAAGAAAUGGUGCUCGAUGAAAGGAUCCAGAUUCCACACUAUGCUGUGGGCUGGGGAGAGAGCUGCUCUGCGAAGCUGGGCGUUCAGUGUUCUUAUGGAGGAAGCAUACUAGAAAGAGAAUUGAAAGGGCCUUCAAAAAAGAGCGAGGGGGUGAUGGGCAACCUUAGUCUAUAUGUUGCUCGUGAGCCGCCAAGUACCAGUCUCGCAACAGUAUUGGCGCAAAAAAAAGGAUCGGUCCUUCACUUGCUGAUCGUUCGCGAGUCGAACUCGCUCUCUUGCCACGCCUUUCACUCACUCGCUUGAGUCGGACUCAAUCACUCUUUGAGUUUGGAGGAUCAUUCGUUAUUCACUCUCUUGCUAUUACCCGCAGGGAGCGCAGCAACCAAGAUGCAUAUUAUCAUAUAGAAAGAGGCGAAGCGUAGCGAUUCGUACUACCGGAAAAGUUUCGCUAACCGGCAGGCAAUAGAAUCAGCCGAUAGGCGCAGGCAAGCGUAGCGAAUCACAUAGAUAAGCCCCUACCUGCCAGCGCGCGGAUGGAUAGGGCGGGCGAAGCGCGAAGGGGAUGGAUGUCUGAGCGGUUGAAAGAGUCGGUCUUGAAAACCGAAGUAUUUUUAGAAAUACCGGGGGUUCGAAUCCCUCUCCAUCCGCGUGAACAUAACAUGUAAUGUUGUUACGAAUGUAACUCCCGAAGGAUCGACCACUAUUCUAAAUAUAGUAAGGCGGAGAACUGUUGUUCAGUGGAGCGCCGGAGUGCGGAGGUUGUUCCCAUCAUUGAAGUCAGGGUGUGGGACUGAGCCUUCCGAAUGAGAAAGAAGAAAAGUGCUUAGUUUCGUUGGAAAAACCAACGCAAAUAUCAUAUUGACUUUCUCUCGCCCUACUUCUAAAGAUAGAUAGAAAGGGUUGGAGAGAAUUUCAGAAAGUCAUUCUCUCCUUUCUAAAGCUGCGCAAGGCGGCCCCCCCAGAACAAAGCCCACCCCUCUUUUCCCCCCUUUAAUGAAGGACCCUCGCCUCGCUUCCUAUUCAUUUGUGGGUCUGGACCCUAUUUUUUUUUUUCAAUUUCGAGAAGAAUGGGAAAUUUUUCUCGCAGACAACGGUGCUCUGGUCGAAAAUUUGGGGAUCAAUAAAAUAACAACACCCACCUAACCUAAUUAAUGUGGUGUGGAAGGGCAAGCGAUAGAAAAGUCCCUCGCGCGAACUACUACUACUAGAAAAUGGUGAGACCAUUAGUGAAAGAAGGACCAAACCAAGGAGGAUCCUCGAAUCCUGAUCAAGCCCCUGAAGCUGGAAGAUUGCGCAUCCGAUCAUCGAGCGGCGCAGGUACACUCUUUCCUUUUUUUUAUCCCACCUGAUGAUUCAACUGAUUUUUUUCAAGCAAUCGCAGCUACUUUCUUUCUCUUCCACUGCCUUCCCACGGACAACAUAAAGCACCAACAGCGUCCGAGAUUACUAGAUAGAGGAGAGACCUGUACUGAAAGUUGAAAGUAAGAAAGCUUAGUUAAAUGAAAGUUCUUUCAACAUUUGUAUCUGCCUUUCUCAUAAAGAGAACAGAACUUCCUCCCGUGUGGAAGUCUGUCUUUAUUCGCUGCUCCUGCUCGUCAAGUAGGCGCUUUAUGCUCUGCUCUUCCAGUUAAAGUCAAGCUCCGGGUUUUUGCUCUAGUCAAAGUUCUAUCUGGCUUUCCGCUGGGAAAGUAAGAGACGAGUAUAGUUGCGAACCUGGAAGCCUGCUGAAAAGGGCUUCUCUUUCUAGUUCGAGAAGUUUUAAAUAAAGCAAAAAGCUUUUUUCAGAUGAAUGGCUUGAUUCUACUUCUUUCACUUUCUUUAGCUAUUGUUCACUAGUCUAACAAAAUAAUAGUUAUAUAUAUAUAUAUAUUUCCUCUCUUUAUCUUAUCCUUACCUUAAUAAAGGAACUUAAUAACUAAACUUCCCCCUUGUCUUUAUCCUCUUGUUCUGAGCCUGCCACCUAUCGAGCCGAACAGAGCCUUUCGCCUUAGGCGCGAUAGCUUCACUCUUAACCCGCAUUAUCUGAGAAAAGCAUAGAAACAAUUCCCUCAUCCCGACUCAGCUUCUCUCUCCGAUACAGGAAAUCUAACAAUUCCUAUUCUUACUAACCUUUUUGCCUAGCGUCUUUCCGAUAUAUUGAAUUAUCAUCCCUAAUCUACGAUAGCGUGAUGCCACCAACAGUCGAUUUAUUAGACUGCUCCCCUUAAUUGAAUCUCCAGGCCUGCCAAAGACUGCCCACUUACAAAAAUGGCCUAAGCCUAUGCCAAUGGACUCAUGACAUCCAUGCACUGAGUCGUCAAAUGACGCACGUUAAGAAGACCCAAGCCUACAUGCACGGGCCCAUCCCACAAAGUCCUACAAAUGAAGACUCGGGCCUGUCAAGCCUGCUUUCCUCGAUCCAAGCCCGGUGAAAAAAAAAAGCAUAAGAAGAGUCCGAUAAUGGCCGGUCUUUAAAGGCCCUUAAGAAAGAGGCUUAAGUCAUCGAUUCCAAUCCGAUAACGCUUUUCUUUUUAUUGGUAUGCCGCUCCGCGUCCGCGAGCAAGGAGCGAGCUAAGUAAAUCUUACCUGAAAAUGAGUGAGAUUCGAUUCUUUUUCCUUUGUCCUUUUUGUUUUGUCAUUUUCUUUUCUCUAUGAUCCCAAUUAUUAUAUAAUAGAAACUAUAAGAAUCCCAAAACAUCACAUAAUACGUAAAAAAAAAAUAGAGUCUCAAUUUUUUUUUUUUCAAUUUCUAAACAACUAUCGUUUGUGAAUGUAGGUUGUGUCGGGGAUAUACUGUGGCUAGUAAGUCAUUUCGUUUGCAUUUUCUUCAACGAGACCGAAAACACAGCAAUGAUUUGUUUUAUGGACAGUUAUAUUAUUUCCAGCCCAAAUGAGGUAGUGCCUAAUGUCACCGGGAGCGAGUUGGUAGGGGGGCCUGAGAUCUUGAGAAUGGAUCAAGGAAAUCCUGAUGCUCCGCCAGCCAUUCCUCAUGCUGAACAGGCUAUGGGGGAUCUGGAUCUAGCCUUGCGAUUGGGGCCGCCGAGCCCAACAAAAGAGGCUCUCGAAAGAGAGCUUUCGACCUUUCUUUCUUCCUUUGGAAAUAGGGAAGUUAGAAGGGAUGUCUUGGAAGGGACAAUAAGGAAACUCGACUUGAACAGCGCGUCCCCAGAAAAGCUUUUUUUUGAGGAUCCGACAACUUAUGCAGGAACUUUCCAACAGACCGGUUGCUGCUUCCACAGCUAAGAAGGCUUUAUUGAAAGCUUUAAAAGAGUGGGAGAAAGGGGACGCAUGAGCGUUGGAUAAUGGAAAGAAGGUAGAAUUGCUCGGGACCCCUAGUGAUCGAUUCUUUUUCUUUUAUAUAGGUAGGGUUGGGCAGCGACUCUACUCCUUGAAGUGAAGAAUCGAAAGUCGUCGUUCGUUAGACAAGGCCCACGUGCUGUGCAUCUCAGGUGUUCUGCUCGUGGGGAGAGGGAUGCGGGAAAGUGGGGUCCUCUCACCUGUGCUCACUUCCGUUUUAGAAGUCAGAUUGGAUUUCCAAUUGGUGCUCAACAGAAGGGUUCCAAACCUCUGAAAGGCGAGGCAGAUUUAACGCUACGCCCUUCCCUUAGCGCCUCCCUCUAGGCGGGGCUCACAACCAAAGGAUGCACGGGGUGAAGUUGCCACCAUGAACUAAGGAUUGGAAGGGUUGAGGAUAGAGUUUCUUUUUCAUUUCCAGGGUAGUUGGCAAGAGCUAUAGCAGCUUACGAUGCAGUUGAUUCGGAAACAUACGCCAGGGCGGUUGGGUGGGGAGUCAGAUCAGGCCAACGGUCCUGCUCCGCUUUAUACUAAGAGAGUUUGGUUGGGUCUGACUCCGUUAUAGGGCUAGUACGCCGAGCAGCUUCGAAUUCUGCUGUGCCGGUGCACAAAGCAAGCACACAAGGACUGCGUAAAUCUUUGGUCUGUCUAUCAUUGCCCAUGUUGGGCUGACUCCUUUUUUUAGGCAAGAAGACCACUAGUUGAAUUAUUAAACUAUUAAGACUAACUGAAAAAAGGGUACUACUCUUCUUCCUCCACUACUGAUAUUGACUGACCUGUUGAUAGGAUAGCAGGGAAAGUUGAGAGUAUAUCCGGAGAAAGAAAAAAACCUUUUCAGGAUGAGACUACGAACCCUAAUGGAGCCAAUGAGAAAGCAGUUGCAGGCCAGUGUAGGCUUGCUCCGCACAGGUUACAUCUGGGCCUUAUAUUGAUAUUCUUUUCAAUUCAUUUGGAAAUUUCUUCGGUCCGGGGUACCGCGCAAUCCGUUUAGAUCUAUUUCAGUUGCCAAUGAAAUGGAAUACGGGGGACUCUCCGUCUAAGUGGUUAAUCCGACGAGUCAAUUCUCAAUGCGAUGCAUCCGUGAAAUGGGACGGAGAUCUGCCCGAACUUAGUCCAGUCCUAUUAAAGAUGGGGGCGAAUCAAGCAACUCUUAUAGAUAGAUGGGAUAGGAAGGAAGAACCACUGAUAGCAUUUGCAGCUGCUUCUUUCCGAUCGAUAUACAAGCAGUUGGGCGCGAAGCUUUCUUCGUGAAAAAGCUCGUCCUUGUCAAUAUAGGACUGUCUUUCAUUCUGCUUUUACUUAUUUUUUGGAAAUCUAUCAUUUUCCAAAUUUUUUCAUUGUCUUUAGUACGAUCUGGCUUCACACCUCUCGCCUAUCGGAACACCAACCCAAUCUUGAAAGCUGAAGUGGGUUUGGGGAAUGGAAGAACAAGAACAUCUUCUUUACCACCAAAAAUGGUAACAUAAGACCCUUCUUCACUCAUGCUUGUCAUCUGCUCGUGAAUACCGUCCAGUCAAGUCUUUGUUCUUUUAUUCUUAAAUAUGGGUGCUAACCAGAUUCCCCAUGUUAUAUGCGAGGUCAAUAAAAUUCUCCAGAGAGUGAGUUUCUGAUCAUAAUGACCACCUAAAGUUGGAUUUCCAGUUGUAGUUUUUAGUUUGGGGUGCCAAUAGUAGCAUAGUUGCUUAGUCGUCCUUCCUCUUACGUAUUACAAUAUAGGUGCUUUGAAUGCUGCCUUUAGCGGAAAACGGACUUAAUGGACAAAUAAGGGAUAGGCAAGAAUCUGUUCUUGAACUCUAGAGAACAGGCGGAAAGAGGUUCAUCAGAGUGAUAGGGAAAGCUUAUAGAGGGGGGGUCUUACUACGACAAGUGAAGCCAGGGUUCCCUUUGUUCGGUGUCCGGGGAAGAGAAAGGAAUCUAUUCGGGAAGCGCUUACCAGCCCCUUUACCGAUACCAAGGGGAAGCAGGAAUUAGACCAAUAGGGCACUGCUCUCCGCCUGUCGUAACAACAACAAAAGUCCAUACCGGAAUUUCAUUACCUUAUUCCUUAAACCCUAAAACGGAGACAUUGGUACAACAGGAGGCUCGAGAGACCUCGAGCGUAAUAUACGCUACCCUCGGAGAGACUUUAGCCACAUCUUAACCCGAAUGAGGCGAUCAAGAAAGUCGUGGGCCUCGUAGUACCCGCAUACGACAGCUCUGUGGAGCCUUUCGGGUCGAAAACCUGUUCGACGUCAGAACCGAUCUCAAAACCCUAAUAUCACCGUCUUCAGAGAAAGGACUUUCUCUAUAUCUAUAUCUAUGCAACUAGUUCUUUCACUUGCUUCCAAAUCCAUCCAUCUUACUUACUCAAAAGCUUUGAAUAUUCUACUCGAAAUCUUGCUUCUAGCUUUGGGCACCUCUGACAUAAACAGAAAUAGCGUAUAUACAAGGCUAGCCCUUUCUCUCAAGCGUCUUGGUAUUGGAUCCGCUCUUCUGUUAACAUGAACAUGAAUUAGAUUCUAUUCUAAUUCUUUAUUCUUAAGAGAAUCCCCCACCCGAACCAUUCUUAAGACCACCAAGCUCUCUCGAAUGAAUUCUACUCUUUCUGCUUUCGAGCUACACCGGGGGCAAAAUCUUUUCCCCACUAAGACGUGCAUCUUUAUGGCUAUAUCGUCCUGAAGACGGAUGCGACGGGAAGAAGUGGCAUUUGGAAGUGUUGCUGACUUAACAUUUAGGUUUCGGCAUAACAAAGCUUGCACUGUCUUUUCGCACUUAGGCGCACAGCGUGCCAUUGGUAAUGAUUCUACUACGGUGCCACAAAUUCGCAAGCUGAUCCUAAGUAAUCGUUGUUGUUCAUUGGAUUCCGGAGGAACUACUUCGUUAGGAUUGGGGAAUUGCUGCGAUUCUUCCUGAAUAGCCUGGAUUCUCCCGUCGAGAGUCACUUUGAAAGUAUUACCUAAACUCUUCCGACUGAAUAUGAUAAAGCCUAUAAAACAUAGAGCUACUAUCAUUUCUUCAUUAUAAAUUGAGAUCUUCUUCGAACUUGAUGCACAAAUAGAUAGAAUAGCAGCAAAUAGCAUCUUUCUAGCCUGCAUAUUCGUGGAACUCAAUCUCAUUUAGAAAGCCUGAUCUCUAUCUUUCAGCAACUGAACGGGAAGUGGUUUAAGAAUAAGAAAGGACUUUAGAAUCGGAUGCGCUCGCCCAGCGAGAAAGGCCCUGACCCUGCCAACCAAGUAUCAAAAAGAAAGAAGAGAAAGAAAGGAGAAGAGAACUUCGUAUUUUGGUAACUCUCUAGGAGUCAUCUUUAACCUUGAAUGCUAUUAAUAGAUUCUACAGCAAUAGUCCCUCGGACUCGGAAAGUAAUAACGAAAAUAGCUAACCCAAUAGCAGAUUCCGCAGCUGCCACCGUUGGAACCAAUGAAGCAAAUGAUUGACCCAUCAUAUCAUCCGAAGAAACAGAAAAUACCAAAAAGUUCGAAUUCACAGCUAAUAACAUUGAUUCAAUUGGCAUUGACAUAAUAGGAAUAUUUCGUCUAUUAAGGAGGAUUCCCCGAAUACCUGAAAUAGAGAUAAUCAUAGAAAAUGUGAAAUAUUUGAUAGGAUCCAUUUCGGGAACGUAGAAUGUAAGAGAAAUUCAAAUGUGAAACAAUAGGUGAGCUCUUCUACUUGAAAUAUCCAUUAAUUAUGGAUAUGGAAGAAAUAUUCUUUUUCAUUUUUUUAGUAACAAAAUAAAAGAAAAGUAGGACCAAACUGAGAGUUAGUAGCAUAAAAAAAGAUGGAUUUGUGAAUGAAAAAUAGAAGUUUCCAAUAGGAAAAUCCAUCAAUGGCACAAUCUCAAAUUGUUCAGGUGGGCCACUUAUUUCUAAUUGUGAAAAUGGGCCACUUAUUUCUAAUUGUUCAGGUGGGCUGGAGACGAGAUCUUUCACUAGAUCCACUUGUUCAGGUGGGCCACUUAGAUCUAAUUGUUCAGUUUGGUCACUUAUUUCUAAUUGUUCAGUUUGGUCGGGGUCGUCUGUACGCGCGUCUUUCUUUGGCUUUUUAAAGAUAUCCUCCGCCCGUCCCCCUAUACUGUAAUAAUAUUUCAAUGCGCGUAGUAUAUAGUCGCUCUCCCUCUCGUAACGGCCUCGUACAGGGAAACCUCUUUUGGCAGUCUCGAUAACAAUAGGCUCUCCUAAUUUCUCCUCUAUCUUCUCGAUAACUGGGCGAGGUUUAAGGACUGGAAAGCCCUUGGUCCCACAACUCUCAAUAAAAGUCGUGUAGUUAAAAGGUUCGGUCGAUUGAGAAGGACUGGCGGCGAAAUCUUCAUAAAUAGUAGACAGUCUUCCUUUAAAAAUAGAAGAGAAGGGUCUUUUACUUUUAUUGGGCAUUCUUGAUUGAUUGAGACAAAAAGAUUCCCUCAAUACAGCUUCACUCCGUCAAACCUGUACGAGUAGUGAAGAGGUAUAGAUUUAGUUGGUUGUUGACCAACGGAAAGCAUGGGAUCAAAAAAGGCAGAAUUUACGCAAUUUCUUUUCUUUUUUAAAUCUCUUUCUUUUUUUUCCCCAACGACAAAGGAACUUACGGGCGGGGCAUUUUCGGGGGCUAGCCCGCUUCCCACCAUUACUCAAUAGGGCAAUUCCUCGCACAUAAUUAAGGGAGCCAUUGAAAGGUGACUAAAACACCAGAAACGGGGACUACCCGAGCUAAUGAUAGAGGCAAGAACACUUUCCGGCCAAGUCCCAUUAAUUGAUCAUAACGAUAUCGUGGAAAUGCUGCACGGACCCAUAUAUAUAGGAACAGAAAAAGAAUCACCUUGAUACUAAACCAGAUCGAGCCCGGGAUCUUCUUGGAAAUGGGAAGAUCUAGGAUAGGCGGCCAACCUCCUGGAGAGAGCGAUGUGCAUAGACCAGGUGAGUAGGGAUGCAGCUCCGUGGACCGCUCGUCGGGCCUGAUAGGUGGUGGUAUCACACCCUUCUCAAAGGAACCGUACGUGACACUCUCGCGUCAUACGGCUCCGUCCCGGAAGCAGGACCUUCCCUUUCCUUUCCUUUGACCAACGGGCCCCCAAACCUUUCUUAUUUCGUGCCGAACCGGGUCUCCAUCUUCGAACUUCCCGUUCGAUGAGACCCCACCCCAGGUCUCGCUGUUUCCGUUUUCUAGGUCACGCCUUAACCUCGUUAGAAAGCGGAGUUGGCUAGCUGCCGGCAUAUCUUUUACGUUACCGGCCACAUAGUCCGCAGCGUCUUUCACUGCAUCGCAUUUGCCGGGGCUGAAUCCCCUUUCUUGAGCGAUCGCCUUCGCUCGUUGGCAGAACGCCUUGAUGCGUGCGUCUAGUUUGUUGGGGUGACACUCCGCCUCUUUAUACUCUUAGGAGGCGAGAAACUCCCGUUCCCUUCUCCUUCCUUACUCUUCCGAGGAUGGUUCAGGGGGAGCCGGUUCCGCCUCCGGCUGAGGAGGGAAAUUUCAAUCGAUAGGCGGUAGCUUCGACGAGCUGGGACGUGGAAGUGAAAACCCUAAACUUGAAACCCUACCCUUCUUUGCUACUCACUAUCUAAGGGGCAAAUCCGAAGUCGGUUCUCAAGGCCCGGAAGCUCGGGGAUUGAAUACCCCUAUGUUCCAAGUGACUAGCUUGGCUGGUGAUGCGUUCACCCACUUGCACGCUUCCUUGCAAGCACGAAAUCCUUAGUUCGCCCGCUACCACACGGGCCGGUGUACUCUUAUCGCUAACCCCGAGAGAGGCUAUACUCUAAGAGCCAACCGACUCAUUAUCCCUGGACGCAAGGAUUAAGAAAUAGCGAUGUAUCAGGGGCUGAGCGUACCUUCCGCUCAGGAACAAGAAAUGGAGCUAUUAAGUUAAGGUGCCGCUUUCCUUUUUCUAGCCCUUCUUUGGGUUCCCUAUCGAUGCGUGUAUGCCUUCGUCGAAGAAAGAGGGGAAUCACAAGAAAUUUUCAUACAACUAGGCCUAAUUCCAUCGAUGAAUCAUUCGAGAACGAAUUUUGCGAGACUAAUCUAAUCUUAUUCAACCUUAGAUGGGAAUUAGGGCGAAGCCUGGGGCGGUCUCUGCCUUCUUAACACGCGGCACACCAACUUGAAGUCUGAUUUGAAAAUCUCUCUCUACCUUCACAAAACUUCUCGCGCCCUUCUCGUAGUUUUGACUUGCUCUUAGGUAGGCUACCGUUGACCGGCUUCGCGAGACCAUUUCGGUCUACACACACAUGGGUGGCUAAGCGCUAUUGGGCGGAGCUUUCUCUCAAUCCAAGCUAACUAAUAGAAGAAAAGAGAAGAAAGGAAGAUCUUAUAAGGGACUCACCCCAUCUUUACAUAAGCUAUUUCUUGAACGGAAAAAAUAGAUGCUUUCAUGGACUACUUUGACUUUAGGGAUUUGCUUCAUCAUUAGCUAAAGAAGAGAGACAAGGGGGAAGCUCAGUCUAAUUGUCCGAAGUGAUUCUUUCUUGAUUGGAUGCCAGCUUUCUCUUAAUUCGUGCACUUACAUACAAAUCUAUAGGUAGUUCAUCUCCUUCUAAGAAAAAUAUCCAAAGUUUUCAUUUUUGAUCGAAUUCCGUCUAGUAAGCCUCGAGAUCUUACAGAUGCUGUUGAGAAUCGUCAUUAACCAAUCAUGUAUCGGACGCACCAUCCCUUGAAGUAAGUAAAGGGCGCAAAGAUGCGGAUUUGACCCGCACCCCCUUUCUUUUUCUUUUUUCGAUUUUUCGUUUUAGAAUAGAGAAAGAGUCGAAACUAAGGGUACGCUCUCUAGAAGAUUUGCUCGGAGCUUUUUGGUCGCCUGCUAUCUUAUCUUGAAACCUCUUUGCACAAAAAGAGACUGAGAUGACGAAGUGGAUGCGCCUUGAUUUCCUCCAACUCCUUACUUAAUGCCGCAAUGGAGUCCUCACCCCUGCCUUUAGAAGAGAAAGCCUUCAUACUAUAUUCGACUUGCAUGUGUUAAGCAUAUAACCUUUCAUCACAUUCAGUCGACUUUCAAUUCAAUCUCUGAGGAAGAGAAAGAUAUAGUUUAUAUACAGAAGAAACCUAGUUUUGAGUUCUAUUAAGGACCCGAAGAAGACAGGAGAACUGGGCAUUCACAAGACUGCUUUGAUUCUCAUCAUGAUACAUUCUUGUAGUAAGCGGGUGGUUGAUAAACACGUAUUAUUGGGGGGGGGCAGCAGGCAAUGGAUACCGUUCUCGCACCCGAGCCUGCAGUUGGUAGGUCAAAUCCCUCUGUCCAAGUGAUUGAGUUGAAGCUUUGGGCAUAGAGCGGAGCGAGCCCGGGGAGAGGAGUAGAGUCCAGCAACAUUGAGCCCCAAAAUAGAGUUUCUAUUCAAAUCCCUACUCAACACGGUGCCUUAAGGAGAAUCCGAAGCCGGUUGCUAGCGGAAGUAGCGCGACAAAGAGCAAAGCGGAGCAUUCACAAAGAAAUGGUGUAAGCAGAAGGGAAGGCGCAACGGUUAGCGACUGCCCGAGGAGUGAUCCCUCUCUUAUUUUCCCUUUUUUUAAGAUAAGAAAAGAGACAAUAAGCCCGUCAACAUUGAAGCUUCCGCUUUUGGCAGCUGUUAGGCAAGUGAUACCGUACGCCGCAAGUCCGCACCUAUAUAGUGAGGGUGCGUUAAGGCGAGUUGAUGAGCUAAUACGGCUGGCUUACUUUUCAUAUGUAUGUGGAUGUGGAGGGAACCUGGCGUUAAGCACUGGGGCCAGCCACAAAGGAAUAGGUUUGAAUGUUGAUAUAUACCGUCUUUCAGCUGACCUUUCCAAACCAUGCUUCGCAAUCAAGCUAGAAAAAGACUAAGCAAGUGCUGUCCUAAUGAAAUGGCGGAUAGUUUAGUAUAACAUUCAUUCCUGACCGCCGCUGCCUGCUUAAGACUAAAAGCUAGUAGUGAGACUUCUAUUCUUCCGCCCUAUCUAGUAAGAGCCUCUAAAGCUAUGUUUGGCGUAAUCAAUAUAAUAGUUGGGCUCGGCUUUACUGAAGAAGAAGGGGCGAAGUCUCAACUACCAGACUACUACUAUACCAAACGCACUCCACGAGUGGAUUAGUUGAGUGACUAGACUGAUACUCUAAACGAGACCAAUACUAUCAAAAAGAAAGUAGCAAAAAUCAUAAGAGAAGAAAAGCAAGUCAAGCAGUAUGCCUGGUUCACCAGGUUCUACCACUGCAGGGCCCAAUCAUAGUCAAAAGCGGAAAAGAGAGGAUUUGCAAGAAAAAGUCGAAUAGACUGACCUACGAGCAUAAGAAAGAAGAGGAAAUCGAAUUAUGUAUGAUGAGCUUGAGUCGAGUCACAAAAAGGGCUAUGAUGAGCUUGAGUCGAGUCACAAAAAAGGGUAUGAUGAGCUUGAGUCGAUUAUUUCCAAGAUCGAAUUCCAGUUUUUUCUUAUGUAGUGGAAACGCCCUACAAUCUGAAGUUUUACGCUUCAGGCAAGAAAUGUUCUUGGUGGAUGCAGGACUUGGGACCCCCAGAAUUUGUAUGCAAGAUGAGCUUACAGGGGUGCCAAUCAACCGAGCCACCAGGUUUGAGAAUAGGGUGGGAUUCCUGGAUCUAGUGGCCGGUGAAUCACUGAUCAAAGAGCAGAUUUUGGAGAGAUUCUUCAUCGAUCUAGUGGCCGGUGAAUCACUGAUCAAAGAGCGAGCAGCCGCCAGGUUUAAUGAUUUGGUGGGAUCUACAGAUGUAGUGGCUGGUGAACCGCUUCUUCUUCUUCCACGAAGAUUCAGACAAAACCGAGCUUGGAUGGAACUGAACAAGAUUGAGCGAACGAAGGCAAAGAUCAAAGGCUUUAUUAUUGAGAAAGUAAAAGGAGGUUAUUCAGUAGCCAUCGCAGGUUUCAUUACUUUUCUUCCAUUCCGCCGCAGAAGGAAAAGGAUAUUGAAUAAUCAAUUCACCGUUGAAAACAUUAACCCCAAAAAGAAGAAUAUUGUGGUCUUCUAACAAAAAAAGAAGAAUAUUCUGGUCUUUGAAGGAAUGAAAAAAAGGAGAGACUGGUAGAGCUCCUCUUUGUCAGCGGCAGCAUUAUCCCUUCUAUCUAUCAACCAUUUCAUUAUGGAACUUUCUCCCCACAACAAUCAUUUUGAAAAUAAUGUGCAAUUCAUAGCCCUCGAUGAUCGGGCAAAUGUUAUGGAAAAUUUCUGUGAUCAAGUAUCUAGAAACAUGGAUGCAACUGGUCUUCAGUUGCCACCAGCAUGGACGUCGGUAAGAGAGCUUGCCGAGCAUGUCUGGCAUGUUAAUGAUGAAGAACUUGUGACUAUUCCUUAUGUCAUCCAUCUCACAAAUGAACUGGCCCGUGAGGACUUUCAAAGUGGGUGUGUAUGGCAGGAAUUUGUUGAUGAGUUGGAAUUGAUUGUCCACAGUCCCACCUGAACAAUUUGAGAUUGUGCCAUUGAUGGAUUUUCCUAUUGGAAACUUCUAUUUUUCAUUCACAAAUCCAUCUUUUUUUAUGCUACUAACUCUCAGUUUGGUCCUACUUUUCUUUUAUUUUGUUACUAAAAAAAUGAAAAAGAAUAAAGAAAAUGGCAUGGGUUUGGGAGCCAAGCCGAAGCCUCCACCGCAGCUUCAACUGCAAAAAAAAUAAUUCGAAAGACCCCGAUCCUUAUUUUCGUUUUUUCUUUACUCUUUCUCAUUAUCACAGUAGUUUUGAUAAGAAGAAGAAGAAAAAAAAGUCUGAUUCUAUUUUACAUUAUGUGUUUCCUCCUUUCCCUUUUUAGUUGCCUUUUGAGAUUCUUCAUUAUGGACUUUUUUUGGCUUUUCUAGCACUCCCCACAGCCUUUAUCUUAUUUGUAUCGUCGAAUGAAAGUGAUAAUUCGACUAGAGAAUCAGGAAGUCUUCCCCGCCUGGAAUCUGAAUCGAGUUCGGAAUCACUCUAAACUUUUAGAAACGUUAUUGGCGCGGAGAAUGAGGCGGAAAUAUAUCGGCGUAUAAGACUCUUGGAGAAUGGUACGUACUAUAAUCUACCGCCUCAGAACACUCCGGGAGACUAUGCUGCCCUUGUUCGCGAAAAUGCGCCACAUUUAUCUAUCUUUAUCGCCGAAUUGAAAUUUUCUUUCUUUGAUCAAGAGUAUUUCGAACUUCAAGUAUUAGAGAGAAAGGGCCUUGUCCAAGACAAACUCCUUAACUUAAUGCUUGAAGAAGAGAAUCUUUCCUCUAUUAUUAUAUUAAUGAAUCCCCUUACUCAAACAUAAGAAAGGAGGCUUAUCACUUUCUUGAAGACAAGCUUCAGCCUGUUGGCGAUCCACGCCAUGCUUUUGAGCGAAAUCUUCUUGAGGGGAGUCUUCGCUUUUUUUUUACAGGAUUUGGAUCAACGGGGUAAAGAUUCCAGUGUUUACCAAGAUUUUUUGAAUUAUUUUCUCAAUUCUGAUUGAUUGCCUUUUUUGAUCCCAUGCUUUCCGUCGGUCAACAACCAACUAAAUCUAUACCUCUUCACUACUCGUACAGGCUUGACGGAGUGAAGCUGUAUUGAGGGAAUCUUUUUGUCUCAAUCAAUCAAGAAUGCCUCAACUGGAUAAAUUCACUUAUUUCACACAAUUCUUCUGGUCAUGCCUUUUCCUCUUUACUUUCUAUAUUCCUAUAUGCAAUGAUGGAGAUGGAGUACUUGGGAUCAGCAGAAUUCUAAAACUACGGAACCAACUGGUUUCACACCGGGAGAACAAGAUCCGGAGCAACGACCCCAACAGUUUGGAAGAUAUCUUGAGAAAAGGUUUUAGCACCGGUGUAUCCUAUAUGUACUCAAGUUUAUUCGAAGUAUCCCAAUGGUGUAACGCCGUCGACUUCUUGGGAAAAAGGAGGAAGAUGACUUUAAUCUCUUGUUUCGGAGAAAUAAGUGGCUCACGAGGAAUGGAAAGAAACAUAUUCUAUUUGAUCUCUAAGUCUGUACAUAGCAAUCCUGGGUGGGUCAUCACUUGUAGGAAUGACAUAAUGCUAAUCCAUGUUCCACACGGCCAAGGAAGCAUCGGUUUUUAAUCUCAUUAUGACUUGGUUGUUCGGAAGAGCAAUUAAUUCGAUCAGAAUAGUGGAAUGGAAGGCAGUAAAAGAAUGAAAUACUCCUUUCUUUUCCAAUCGCCCCGCGAAGACAGACGCUCGGAAAGGUUCUCGAGAUUCUCAAUCGCUCUUUUUAGUGGGGAGGAAUAGUGCGGGAAGGGGGCGAGACCAAGCCGAGCCACUAGUAGAGUAAGCCCUUCCCACGUGUCAAGUUGAAUAUAAAUAAAUGAAUGCAGCCUCAACCAGAGAGAUCAACCUGCGCCUUUGAGUUGAGGCCGCUGGCGGCGCAGAACGAACUAAUCCGCGACCAGCAAGUUUUCCGAAAGCGAACUGAAUGGAAUUGUUACUUUCCAAAAAUCUUGCUUCAAAGAAAUAAGGUCUAUUUUCCCACGUAGUUCGUCGGUCAAACCAACGAUUCUCUUCUCAAAGUAAUAGAGAGAGUCUUUUUCUAGUUAGACUUCUAUCAAUGGAAUGAAAGAACCAUCCCUUCCUAUUUCUUUGUUUGUCCUGUCAGAUAGAAAGAAAAUUAGACCCCAAAGAGCCCUUCUUUACUUUACUACUUUAGGGGGUGGGGGUGAAGGGGGGGUUUACAUAGAACCGAGGCAAAGUGGUUUAUGAUUGAAUCUCAGAGGCAUUCUUAUCAUUUGGUAGAUCCAAGUCCAUGGCCUAUUUCGGGUUCACUCGGAGCUUUGGCAACAACCGUAGGAGGUGUGAUGUACAUGCACUCAUUUCAAGGGGGUGCAACACUUCUCAGUUUGGGCCUCAUAUUUCUCCUAUAUACCAUGUUCGUAUGGUGGCGCGAUGUUCUACGUGAAUCCACGUUCGAAGGACAUCAUACCAAAGUCGUACAAUUAGGACCUCGAUAUGGUUUUAUUCUGUUUAUCGUAUCGGAGGUUAUGUUCUUUUUUGCUCUUUUUCGGGCUUCUUCUCAUUCUUCUUUGGCACCUACGGUAGAGAUCGGAGGUAUUUGGCCCCCAAAAGGGAUUGCGGUUUUAGAUCCUUGGGAAAUCCCUUUUCUUAAUACCCUUAUUCCCCUUUCAUCCGGAGCUGCCGUAACUUGGGCUCAUCAUGCUAUACUCGCGGGGAAGGAAAAACGAGCAGUUUACGCUUUAGUAGCUACCGUUUCACUGGCUCUAGUAUUCACAGGCUUUCAAGGAAUGGAAUAUUAUCAAGCACCCUUCACUAUUUCGGAUAGUAUUUAUGGUUCUACCUUUUUCUUAGCAACUGGCUUUCAUGGUUUUCAUGUGAUUAUAGGUACUAUUUUCUCGAUCAUAUGUGGUAUUCGCCAAUAUCUUGGUCAUCUGACCAAGGAGCAUCACGUUGGCUUUGAAGCAGCUGCAUGGUACUGGCAUUUUGUAGACGUGGUUCGGUUAUUCCUAUUUGUCUCUAUCUAUUGGUGGGGAGGUAUAUGAAGGAAGGAAUCAGUGGAUUGAGGAAUGAAAGCUCGAAGACAAAGAGAACCGGGCUUUUCCAAAGAAUUACUGCAGCUUUCCCACUCCCUUUGAUUAUCAUAUACAAAAAGGUCUCUUCCACUUUCCUACCAAAUCUCUCUCUAUUCUGGCACAUAAAUGAAGGGAUCGAAGAGAUUAUGGCAGAUCAUGUUCACCAAGAAAUGACCCGAAAUUGGAUCUUGGUCUAUUUGAGAUUGUUCCUUUUAAUCGUAAUCAAAGAUGUUUUCUUGUCUCUCGUUUCUUUUCUGAAAAAAAAAAAGAACCUAAUGGAUCGAACUCAUAUGCUGUACCUGGUCGUUUAAAUCAGAUCU